AAUAAACCAAUUUUCUACUUUUUACCUAUAAUUUUUGACUCUUCGUCUUAUUUAAAAAAAUUUACGAUUAAUAUUUUUGUUUUUAUUAGAUGAUAAAUCAUAAAUAAUACUUUAUGUGUGACUAUUUUUUUCUAAUUUUCUGAAAAUUUUUCAAAUAAGACAGAUUGUCAAACGUUGGACAUGAAAACCGG
Oryza brachyantha (malo sina) is the source of this 191-nucleotide non-coding RNA. The record is from Rfam. NCBI's taxonomy places the organism in Eukaryota, Viridiplantae, Streptophyta, Magnoliopsida, Poales, Poaceae.